This 465-nucleotide ribosomal RNA is filed under the name uncultured bacterium. Its description in RNAcentral is "partial 16S ribosomal RNA". It matches the Rfam family "Bacterial small subunit ribosomal RNA", at positions 28 to 507 of the family's 1533-position model. The record is from RNAcentral.
GACGAACGCUGGCGGCGUGCUUAACACAUGCAAGUCGAACGGAAAGGCCCUGCUUGCAGGGUCCUCGAGUGGCGAACGGGUGAGUAACACGUGGGUGAUCUGCCCUGCACUUCGGGAUAAGCCUGGGAAACUGGGUCUAAUACCGGAUAGGAGCCAUUUUUAGUGUGAUGGUUGGAAAGUUUUUUCGGUGUAGGAUGAGCUCGCGGCCUAUCAGCUUGUUGGUGGGGUAAUGGCCUACCAAGGCGGCGACGGGUAGCCGGCCUGAGAGGGUGGACGGCCACAUUGGGACUGAGAGACGGCCCAGACGCCUACGGGAGGCAGCAGGGGGGAAUAUUGCACAAUGGGCGCAAGCCUGAUGCAGCGACGCCGCGUGUGGGAUGACGGCCUUCGGGUUGUAAACUCCUUUCGCUAGGGACGAAGCUUUUUGUGACGGUACCUAGAUAAGAAGCACCGGCUAACUACGUG